Molecule: transfer RNA, 71 nt
Filed under: Marmota monax (woodchuck)
Lineage: Eukaryota; Metazoa; Chordata; Mammalia; Rodentia; Sciuridae
Description: tRNA.Ala
Source: RNAcentral
GAGGCUGUAACUCAAUGGCAGAGUACUUGCCUAGCAUGUGUGAGGCACUGGGUUCGAUCCUCAGCACCACA